GAACUUAAGCAUAUCAAUAAGCGGAGGAAAAGAAACUAACAAGGAUUCCCUUAGUAACUGCGAGUGAAGUGGGAUGAGCUCAAAUUUGAAAUCUGGUAGUCUCUGGCUACCCGAGUUGUAAUCUAGAGAAGUGUUUUCUGUGCUGGACUGUGUUUAAGUUUCCUGGAUAUGGAACAUCAUAGAGGGUGAGAAUCCCGUCUUUGACACAGGCUGCCAGUACUGUGUGAUGCACUCUCAACGAGUCGAGUUGUUUGGGAUUGCAGCUCAAAAUGGGAGGUAAAUUCCUUCUAAAGCUAAAUAUUGGCGAGAGACCGAUAGCGAACAAGUACCGUGAGGGAAAGAUGAAAAGCACUUUGGAAAGAGAGUUAAACAGUACGUGAAAUUGUUAAAAGGGAAACAAUUGAAGUCAGUUGCAUCUACUUGGACUCAGCCUUACUUUGGUUUGGUGCAUUUCCUUGUGGGAUGGGCCAGUGUUCAUGUUGAUUACUGGAAAAGGGGCUAGGGAAUGUGGCUCUUUUGGGAGUGUUAUAGCUUUGGCUCAUAUACAGUAAUUAAUAUGGAGUGGUACAGCAUGCUUCGGUGGUGCUUGUGCUGGCAUAAUGGCUUUAAAUGACCCGUCUUGAAACACGGACCAAGGAGUCUAACAUGUCUGCAAGUAUUUGGGUGGUAAACUCAAAUGCGUAAUGAAAGUGAUAGCUGGGAACCCUGUAAAGGGGACACCAGUGCCCCGAGCGGAUCUUUUGUGAUGCAUCGGAGGUGGAGCAUAUAUGUUGGGACCCGAAAGAUGGUGAACUAUGCCUGAAUAGGGUGAAGCCAGAGGAAACUCUGGUGUGAGGCUCGUAGCGAUUCUGACGUGCAAAUCGAUCGUCAAAUUUGGGUAUAGGGGCGAAAGACUAAUCGAACAUCUAGUAGCUGGUUCCUGCC
RNAcentral lists this ribosomal RNA (924 nucleotides) under Hydnum tangerinum. Its description in RNAcentral is "partial large subunit ribosomal RNA". It matches the Rfam family "Eukaryotic large subunit ribosomal RNA", at positions 30 to 962 of the family's 3401-position model. Lineage: Eukaryota; Fungi; Basidiomycota; Agaricomycetes; Cantharellales; Hydnaceae. The record is from RNAcentral.